Molecule: ribosomal RNA, 435 nt
Filed under: uncultured bacterium
Lineage: Bacteria
Description: partial 16S ribosomal RNA
Rfam family: Bacterial small subunit ribosomal RNA
Source: RNAcentral
AGCGAACGCUGGCGGCAGGCUUAACACAUGCAAGUCGAGCGGGCACUUUCGGGUGUCAGCGGCGGACGGGUGAGUAACGCGUGGGAACGUGCCCUCUGGUUCGGAAUAACUCAGGGAAACUUGAGCUAAUACCGGAUACGCCCUUUUGGGGAAAGGCUUGCUGCCGGAGGAUCGGCCCGCGUCUGAUUAGCUAGUUGGUGAGGUAACGGCUCACCAAGGCGACGAUCAGUAGCUGGUCUGAGAGGAUGAUCAGCCACACUGGGACUGAGACACGGCCCAGACUCCUACGAGAGGCAGCAGUGGGGAAUAUUGGACAAUGGGCGCAAGCCUGAUCCAGCCAUGCCGCGUGAGUGAUGAAGGCCUUAGGGAUGUAAAGCUCUUUUAUCCGGGACGAUAAUGACGGUACCGGAGGAAUAAGCCCCGGCUAACUUCGUG